RNAcentral lists this ribosomal RNA (495 nucleotides) under uncultured bacterium. Its description in RNAcentral is "bacterial SSU rRNA". It matches the Rfam family "Bacterial small subunit ribosomal RNA", at positions 30 to 518 of the family's 1533-position model. The record is from RNAcentral.
UGAACGCUAGCGACAGGCCUAACACAUGCAAGUCGAGGGGCAGCACAAGGAGCAAUCUGAGGUGGCGACCGGCGCACGGGUGAGUAACACGUAUGCAACCUGCCUGUAAGCGGGGAAUAACCCGUUGAAAGACGGACUAAUACCGCAUAAUACUAAAUUACUGCAUGGUAAUUUAUUUAAACAUUUAUGGCUUACAGAUGGGCAUGCGCAUGAUUAGCUAGUUGGAGAGGUAACGGCUCCCCAAGGCAACGAUCAUUAGGGGUUCUGAGAGGAAGGUCCCCCACACUGGUACUGAGACACGGACCAGACUCCUACGGGAGGCAGCAGUGAGGAAUAUUGGUCAAUGGACGAGAGUCUGAACCAGCCAAGUCGCGUGCAGGAAGAACGUCCUUAAUGGAUUGUAAACUGCUUUUGCAGGGGAAUAAAGUGCAUCACGUGUGAUGUUUUGUAUGUACUCUGCGAAUAAGGAUCGGCUAACUCCGUGCCAGCCGCAGC